GAAGUUUAAGUUAAUAACAAAAACUUAGGGCCUUCAAAGCCCUAAAUAGGGACCAACCCCUAACUUCUG
This 69-nucleotide transfer RNA is filed under the name Pachydactylus scutatus (large-scaled gecko). RNAcentral describes it as "tRNA-Trp". The record is from RNAcentral. Lineage: Eukaryota; Metazoa; Chordata; Lepidosauria; Squamata; Gekkonidae.